AAGUCGUAACAAGGUUUCCGUAGGUGAACCUGCGGAAGGAUCAUUAAAGAGUUAGGGUCCCAGUGGCCCAACCUCCAACCCUCUGUUGUUAUAACUAUCUUGUUGCUUUGGCGGGACCGUUCGGUCUCCGAGCGCGUCAACCCCCGGGUCGACGAGCGCCCGCCAGAGUCCAACCAAACUCUUGUAUUAAACCAGUCGUCUGAGUACAAAAUUUUAAUUAAAUUAAAACUUUCAACAACGGAUCUCUUGGUUCUC
RNAcentral lists this unclassified non-coding RNA (255 nucleotides) under fungal sp. Its description in RNAcentral is "partial internal transcribed spacer region". The stretch from base 1 to 46 matches the Rfam family "Eukaryotic small subunit ribosomal RNA", at positions 1786 to 1831 of the family's 1831-position model. Lineage: Eukaryota; Fungi. The record is from RNAcentral.